AUCCUGGCCUGAAGCAAUCCUCCCGCCUCAGACUCCCAAGGAUCUGGCAGCCUUGGCCCAAGCAAUCCCAGUGGGCGCAUCUUGGGAGCUGACUUUGGGGCCACCUUUCCCCAUGCUGCCUGGGGACCAGAGAACACUGACCGCGGGAAAGACCGAUGCUGCCGAGGCCAGGAGGAGGGGGAGGCCGUCAUCUGUGGGUCCCCAGCAGCGCUUGGGGUCCUGGCCACUCCAGCGGCCCCUUGCACCUGCCUCCAGGGAUCCUUUGUCUUCAAAAUAACCUCCCUCCACCUUCCGGCUCAUAGUGCCUUGGGUGGAUCUGUUCCCAUUUCCCACAAGCCUGCAGGGUGGUGACAGGCCCUCAUUCCCAUGUGCCCCAAGAUUUCGGAUUCCAAAAAUACAUCCCCUGGCUCCCCGGA
This is a long non-coding RNA of Homo sapiens (human), 416 nucleotides long. RefSeq lists it as uncharacterized. NCBI's taxonomy places the organism in Eukaryota, Metazoa, Chordata, Mammalia, Primates, Hominidae. The transcript has 2 exons. The record is from RefSeq and is a predicted model, not a curated record.